UGAGCAACCUGCCCUCAGCUUUGGGAUAACCCUCGGAAACGGGGGCUAAUACCGGAUAUUCACUGCUUCGCGCAUGUGGGGUGGUGGAAAGUUUUUCGGCUGGGGAUGGGCUCGCGGCCUAUCAGCUUGUUGGUGGGGUGAUGGCCUACCAAGGCGACGACGGGUAGCCGGCCUGAGAGGGCGACCGGCCACACUGGGACUGAGACACGGCCCAGACCUCCUACGGGAGCA
Molecule: ribosomal RNA, 231 nt
Filed under: uncultured bacterium
Lineage: Bacteria
Description: partial 16S ribosomal RNA
Rfam family: Bacterial small subunit ribosomal RNA
Source: RNAcentral